GUGGGGAAUAUUGGACAAUGGGGGGAACCCUGAUCCAGCCAUGCCGCGUGUGUGAAGAAGGCCUUUUGGAUGUAAAGCACUUUAAGCGAGGAGGAGGCUACCGAGAUUAAUACUCUUGGAUAGUGGACGUUACUCGCAGAAUAAGCACCGGCUAACUCUGUGCCAGCAGCCGCGGUAAUACAGAGGGUGCAAGCGUUAAUCGGAUUUACUGGGCGUAAAGCGCGCGUAGGUGGCCAAUUAAGUCAAAUGUGAAAUCCCCGAGCUUAACUUGGGAAUUGCAUUCGAUACUGGUUGGCUAGAGUAUGGGAGAGGAUGGUAGAAUUCCAGGUGUAGCGGUGAAAUGCGUAGAGAUCUGGAGGAAUACCGAUGGCGAAGGCAGCCAUCUGGCCUAAUACUGACACUGAGGUGCGAAAGCAUGGGGAGCAAACAGGAUUAGAAACCCUUGUAGUCC
RNAcentral lists this ribosomal RNA (451 nucleotides) under uncultured bacterium. Its description in RNAcentral is "partial 16S ribosomal RNA". It matches the Rfam family "Bacterial small subunit ribosomal RNA", at positions 354 to 796 of the family's 1533-position model. The record is from RNAcentral.